Molecule: ribosomal RNA, 306 nt
Filed under: uncultured bacterium
Lineage: Bacteria
Description: partial 16S ribosomal RNA
Rfam family: Bacterial small subunit ribosomal RNA
Source: RNAcentral
GACAGCAGUAGCCGCGGUAAUACGUAGGUGGCAAGCGUUGUCCGGAAUUAUUGGGCGUAAAGCGCGCGCAGGCGGAUCAGUCAGUCUGUCUUAAAAGUUCGGGGCUUAACCCCGUGAUGGGAUGGAAACUGCUGAUCUAGAGUAUCGGAGAGGAAAGUGGAAUUCCUAGUGUAGCGGUGAAAUGCGUAGAUAUUAGGAAGAACACCAGUGGCGAAGGCGACUUUCUGGACGAAAACUGACGCUGAGGCGCGAAAGCUAGGGGAGCGAACGGGAUUAGAUACCCCCGUAGUCCCUGUCUCUUAUACA